Molecule: ribosomal RNA, 497 nt
Filed under: uncultured bacterium
Lineage: Bacteria
Description: partial 16S ribosomal RNA
Rfam family: Bacterial small subunit ribosomal RNA
Source: RNAcentral
GAUAAACGCUGGCGGCGUGCCUAAUACAUGCAAGUCGAGCGAACGGACGAGAAGCUUGCUUCUCUGAUGUUAGCGGCGGACGGGUGAGUAACACGUGGAUAACCUACCUAUAAGACUGGGAUAACUUCGGGAAACCGGAGCUAAUACCGGAUAAUAUUUUGAACCGCAUGGUUCAAAAGUGAAAGACGGUCUUGCUGUCACUUAUAGAUGGAUCCGCGCUGCAUUAGCUAGUUGGUAAGGUAACGGCUUACCAAGGCAACGAUGCAUAGCCGACCUGAGAGGGUGAUCGGCCACACUGGAACUGAGACACGGUCCAGACUCCUACGGGAGGCAGCAGUAGGGAAUCUUCCGCAAUGGGCGAAAGCCUGACGGAGCAACGCCGCGUGAGUGAUGAAGGUCUUCGGAUCGUAAAACUCUGUUAUUAGGGAAGAACAUAUGUGUAAGUAACUGUGCACAUCUUGACGGUACCUAAUCAGAAAGCCACGGCUAACUACGUG